CCUACGGGGGGCAGCAGUAGGGAAUCUUCGGCAAUGGACGGAAGUCUGACCGAGCAACGCCGCGUGAGUGAAGAAGGUUUUCGGAUCGUAAAGCUCUGUUGUAAGAGAAGAACGAGUGUGAGAGUGGAAAGUUCACACUGUGACGGUAUCUUACCAGAAAGGGACGGCUAACUACGUGCCAGCAGCCGCGGUAAUACGUAGGUCCCGAGCAUUGUCCGGAUUUAUUGGGCGUAAAGCGAGCGCAGGCGGUUAGAUAAGUCUGAAGUUAAAGGCUGUGGCUUAACCAUAGUACGCUUUGGAAACUGUUUAACUUGAGUGCAAGAGGGGAGAGUGGAAUUCCAUGUGUAGCGGUGAAAUGCGUAGAUAUAUGGAGGAACACCGGUGGCGAAAGCGGCUCUCUGGCUUGUAACUGACGCUGAGGCUCGAAAGCGUGGGGAGCAAACAGGAUCAGAUACCCGAGUAGUC
RNAcentral lists this ribosomal RNA (465 nucleotides) under uncultured Streptococcus sp. RNAcentral's name for it is "bacterial SSU rRNA". It matches the Rfam family "Bacterial small subunit ribosomal RNA", at positions 338 to 795 of the family's 1533-position model. The record is from RNAcentral. Lineage: Bacteria; Bacillati; Bacillota; Bacilli; Lactobacillales; Streptococcaceae.